UGACUCCUGGUGGGACAGAACAGCAGGGACCCCUGGCAAUGCUAGGCGGCCAAGGAGAAAGAGGAGCCAGCAGCACUGAAGGAGGGGGGGGGGAGAGGCCUUGGGGAGGGGGAGAUCCCUGUCAGGCCUUACUCCUCUCAGGAAGUGGCCUCAGGGCUCUUGGAGGGCUUUGCUUGUGGAAAAAGGGGAGGGAGGCCCUUAUUUGCACAUGGGGUUAGAGGCCAUGGGGCCAGGGAUUUGGUGCAGUGGCCAAUCUAGAACCAGGCCCAGCUGCUCUUCCUCCCACCUGGAGCCAGUACUGGCUUUGCACCCCAAACCACUCGCCCUCCUCAGCCUAGAUGUGGACUUUGGGGGUGUCAGUUUCUGUGGGGCUACUUAAUGCUCUGCAGCUGGAGAAUCAGAAAAGCUCCCCGCCCCUCCCCCUGGCCGGCUCCUGGUGGGCUGGAGGCCGUGGGACUGGCCCUGUGAAAGAUCCCUAUGCAGAGGCAAACAAGGUGAAGGGAUUUAGGCAGGACUGAACAGUGGUUGAAAGGGGUUUUGAAGGAUGUCAGCAGCCACAACUGGGACCCGUCAUUAAGUGAAGCUGUGGCUAAUUGAAACCAUGACACUCCCUUGUUGACCUUAUUUCAACCUUCCUGUUUUGUAGACCUGCAGAGGUCAUAAAUGCGAGAACUGCUUGCAAAGUCAUUUUUUGAUUGCCAUUGUAAGCGAACAAUCCCUAAUUAGACGAGGCAGUCACUAAAUAAGCACUUCCUGUAGGAGUUGGAUGUCCUGGUGCAGUUUUCCUCUGUGAUCUGCAGAAGCCUGCAGUUCUAAGGCGGAAGAGGCUUGUUCUCCAUUGCCUCCAAAGGCAGGACCUGAACCCAGAGCUUGGAAAUGAGGAAAGUGGAUUCAGGUUAGAUGGACAUCAGGAUAUUCCAAAGAAGAAGAUGGUCCUGCACAGAGCAGGAGGCUGGCUUAGAGGCCUCCCGAGCUUCCCUUCAAGUCCAACUGUUUGUAGCUUUAAAAUCAGAGACGGCGAUUGUGCUGCUAGGUUACAAAUUAAAAGCUGUUUUUAAAAGUA
Molecule: non-coding RNA, 1063 nt
Organism: Pantherophis guttatus
Lineage: Eukaryota; Metazoa; Chordata; Lepidosauria; Squamata; Colubridae
Source: RefSeq, a predicted model, not a curated record